CUUCCAGCCACGCACAUUAUACAUUGAGAAUUGAAAUACGCAAGAUGAAAAACUUGAUUGUGUGUGCCCUCGUAUUGGCUCUUAUGGUGGUAGCCGUAGUCUAUGGGCAAUGCCCCAACUGUCAGCCGAAGGAUGAGAUGCCAGGACCCUAAACAAUCGCACAAAAUAUAGACGUUUACUUUCUUUA
Pieris rapae (cabbage white) is the source of this 187-nucleotide long non-coding RNA. RefSeq lists it as uncharacterized. The record is from RefSeq and is a predicted model, not a curated record. Lineage: Eukaryota; Metazoa; Arthropoda; Insecta; Lepidoptera; Pieridae. The transcript has 2 exons.